CAGUAGCCGCGGUAAUACGGAGGGUGCAAGCGUUAAUCGGAAUUACUGGGCGUAAAGCGCACGCAGGCGGUUUGUUAAGUCAGAUGUGAAAUCCCCGAGCUUAACUUGGGAACUGCAUUUGAAACUGGCAAGCUAGAGUCCUGUAGAGGGGGGUAGAAUUCCAGGUGUAGCGGUGAAAUGCGUAGAGAUCUGGAGGAAUACCGGUGGCGAAGGCGGCCCCCUGGACAAAGACUGACGCUCAGGUGCGAAAGCGUGGGGAGCAAACAGGAUUAGAUACCCCUGUAGUCCCUGUCUCUUAUAC
RNAcentral lists this ribosomal RNA (301 nucleotides) under uncultured bacterium. RNAcentral describes it as "partial 16S ribosomal RNA". It matches the Rfam family "Bacterial small subunit ribosomal RNA", at positions 509 to 807 of the family's 1533-position model. The record is from RNAcentral.